Molecule: ribosomal RNA, 230 nt
Filed under: uncultured bacterium
Lineage: Bacteria
Description: partial 16S ribosomal RNA
Rfam family: Bacterial small subunit ribosomal RNA
Source: RNAcentral
CGGGGUGGAGUAAUGUCUGGGAAACUGCCCGAUGGAGGGGGAUAACUACUGGAAACGGUAGCUAAUACCGCAUAACGUCGCAAGACCAAAGAGGGGGACCUUAGGGCCUCUUGCCAUCGGAUGUGCCCAGAUGGGAUUAGCUAGUAGGUGGGGUAAUGGCUCACCUAGGCGACGAUCCCUAGCUGGUCUGAGAGGAUGAUCAGCCACACUGGGACUGAGACACGGCCCAG